RNAcentral lists this long non-coding RNA (214 nucleotides) under Elaeis guineensis (African oil palm). Its description in RNAcentral is "long non-coding RNA (EGUI_LNC081770)". The record is from RNAcentral. Lineage: Eukaryota; Viridiplantae; Streptophyta; Magnoliopsida; Arecales; Arecaceae.
CUUAUGUUUGAAAUCAUUGUAUAAGCUUCAUCACUCCUCAAGAAUCCAAGAUGUCUAGAAUUAAUUUGAGUUAACCUUUGGUUUAUCUUACAAUCAUGUAGAUAAUUUUCAAAUCAAUCUUCUUUUUUAAAAGAAUUAACUUCAAUUCGAGCAAACUGGAAGAACUCAAACCAACAUCCUUGUAAGUAGAAUCAACUUGAUUAUUUCUUGUAGA